This 1139-nucleotide ribosomal RNA is filed under the name Salmonella enterica subsp. enterica serovar Derby. Its description in RNAcentral is "bacterial SSU rRNA". It matches the Rfam family "Bacterial small subunit ribosomal RNA", at positions 1 to 1129 of the family's 1533-position model. The record is from RNAcentral. Lineage: Bacteria; Pseudomonadati; Pseudomonadota; Gammaproteobacteria; Enterobacterales; Enterobacteriaceae.
AAAUUGAAGAGUUUGAUCAUGGCUCAGAUUGAACGCUGGCGGCAGGCCUAACACAUGCAAGUCGAACGGUAACAGGAAGCAGCUUGCUGCUUCGCUGACGAGUGGCGGACGGGUGAGUAAUGUCUGGGAAACUGCCUGAUGGAGGGGGAUAACUACUGGAAACGGUGGCUAAUACCGCAUAACGUCGCAAGACCAAAGAGGGGGACCUUCGGGCCUCUUGCCAUCAGAUGUGCCCAGAUGGGAUUAGCUUGUUGGUGAGGUAACGGCUCACCAAGGCGACGAUCCCUAGCUGGUCUGAGAGGAUGACCAGCCACACUGGAACUGAGACACGGUCCAGACUCCUACGGGAGGCAGCAGUGGGGAAUAUUGCACAAUGGGCGCAAGCCUGAUGCAGCCAUGCCGCGUGUAUGAAGAAGGCCUUCGGGUUGUAAAGUACUUUCAGCGGGGAGGAAGGUGUUGUGGUUAAUAACCGCAGCAAUUGACGUUACCCGCAGAAGAAGCACCGGCUAACUCCGUGCCAGCAGCCGCGGUAAUACGGAGGGUGCAAGCGUUAAUCGGAAUUACUGGGCGUAAAGCGCACGCAGGCGGUCUGUCAAGUCGGAUGUGAAAUCCCCGGGCUCAACCUGGGAACUGCAUUCGAAACUGGCAGGCUUGAGUCUUGUAGAGGGGGGUAGAAUUCCAGGUGUAGCGGUGAAAUGCGUAGAGAUCUGGAGGAAUACCGGUGGCGAAGGCGGCCCCCUGGACAAAGACUGACGCUCAGGUGCGAAAGCGUGGGGAGCAAACAGGAUUAGAUACCCUGGUAGUCCACGCCGUAAACGAUGUCUACUUGGAGGUUGUGCCCUUGAGGCGUGGCUUCCGGAGCUAACGCGUUAAGUAGACCGCCUGGGGAGUACGGCCGCAAGGUUAAAACUCAAAUGAAUUGACGGGGGCCCGCACAAGCGGUGGAGCAUGUGGUUUAAUUCGAUGCAACGCGAAGAACCUUACCUGGUCUUGACAUCCACAGAACUUUCCAGAGAUGGAUUGGUGCCUUCGGGAACUGUGAGACAGGUGCUGCAUGGCUGUCGUCAGCUCGUGUUGUGAAAUGUUGGGUUAAGUCCCGCAACGAGCGCAACCCUUAUCCUUUGUUGCCAGCGGUUAGG